GGGCCCGUAGCUCAGUCGGUAGAGCAGGCGGCUCUUAACCGCAAGGUCAGGGGUUCGAAUCCCCUCGGGCCCG
This 73-nucleotide transfer RNA is filed under the name Thermoplasmata archaeon. RNAcentral describes it as "tRNA-Lys". It matches the Rfam family "tRNA". Rfam says of the family: Transfer RNA (tRNA) molecules are approximately 80 nucleotides in length. Their secondary structure includes four short double-helical elements and three loops (D, anti-codon, and T loops). Lineage: Archaea; Methanobacteriati; Thermoplasmatota; Thermoplasmata. RNAcentral also lists the same sequence under 3 other names. The record is from RNAcentral.